CAUCCUCGGCCUUAGGCGUUCUUCGAGUCGUCCCCAUCUCUGCAUCUCUGCAUCCCUUAGACCAGCCUAGGUUAGCUCCAGAACUUUUUCUGUUUACGCGGCUCUAUUUCUAGACUGUGCCGAUCCUCCUUCGUUACAUAUAUGGGCGCGGACGCGGCUCGGAUGUUAGCCAAGAGUCUCAAAGCCCACAAGAGGGAAGGCGUGCAACUUCCGAGUCGACGAAGAAGGCGAGGGUAGAAGAGAUAGGUCCGACCGUGUUUCGCCUUGAUCGCCCAAAGCCCGCGCU
RNAcentral lists this long non-coding RNA (286 nucleotides) under Elaeis guineensis (African oil palm). RNAcentral describes it as "long non-coding RNA (EGUI_LNC080040)". The record is from RNAcentral. Lineage: Eukaryota; Viridiplantae; Streptophyta; Magnoliopsida; Arecales; Arecaceae.